CUACGGGACGCACCAGUGAGGAAUAUUGCACAAUGGGGGGAACCCUGAUGCAGCAACGCCGCGCGGAGGAUGACGCAUUUCGGUGUGUAAACUCCUUUUAUAUGUCAAGAAAAUGACGGUAGCAUAUGAAUAAGCACCGGCUAACUCCGUGCCAGCAGCCGCGGUAAUACGGAGGGUGCAAGCGUUACUCGGAAUCACUGGGCGUAAAGGACGCGUAGGCGGGUUGGAAAGUCAGGUGUGAAAUCCUACAGCUUAACUGUAGAACUGCACUUGAAACUUCUAAUCUAGAGUAUGGGAGGGGGAGAUGGAAUUAGUGGUGUAAGGGUAAAAUCCGUAGAUAUCACUAGGAAUACCUAAAGCGAAGGCGAUCUCCUGGAACAUUACUGACGCUAAGGCGUGAAAGCGUGGGGAGCAAACAGGAUUAGAUACCCUCGUAGUC
This 439-nucleotide ribosomal RNA is filed under the name uncultured bacterium. RNAcentral's name for it is "partial 16S ribosomal RNA". It matches the Rfam family "Bacterial small subunit ribosomal RNA", at positions 339 to 795 of the family's 1533-position model. The record is from RNAcentral.